Salvia splendens (bonfire salvia) is the source of this 2390-nucleotide long non-coding RNA. RefSeq lists it as uncharacterized. NCBI's taxonomy places the organism in Eukaryota, Viridiplantae, Streptophyta, Magnoliopsida, Lamiales, Lamiaceae. The transcript has 2 exons. The record is from RefSeq and is a predicted model, not a curated record.
UCAUCUGCUUCGUCCUCUACCUCUAUAAACUCACCUCUCCUCUCUUCACUUGCAAAUCCCCCCAGUUAUGACUUAUGGCUCCGCAUAGCCUUCUCUUUUGAGCUCAGUGUUGGAUUCUGUUGCGGCGGCCUCUAGUUCGCUUGGUGCAGGUUCCUGCCUUGCAUCAACUGAAUCAGAGGCCGCGGUGAAUCAUUAUUUCCGUCUAGUUUAUAUUGGAAGGAUUCACGUGGAUCUGCGAUUGGUAUGGUAGAUGUCAAUUUUGAAUUCGUUUUCUUCGCAAUUACUCCUAGUUUUUUUGCCGGAUCUGAUUCGUUUGUUUUUCUGCAUUGAGCAUGAAUGAUAGAUCUUGUUUUCUGCAUUGACAGAUACUCUAUGCAGAUUAAUUAGUGUAGUUUUCUAGCUAAGAAAAAAAAGUUUUUCAGUAGCAGAUUAUCCUUUCAGCUGCUUCUGAUACGAAAAUACUCCUGGAUAUUUAAUAGAACUUGUGUAUCAAUGAGAUCUUAUUUGUUGUUUUUUUAUCAGGUAAAUUCUAUCCAGUAGUAGCUCUUCUUCGAAAUCCUCUUGAAAAAUACUGCUUUCUGAGAAAACGUUAAUGCAUUUCCCAUGGAUGAUCCUAAUUCCUAAGCCUAGUGUAUUUUAGAAUGAUAAUUAUGCUAAGAUGCAUGAGUUACAUUGGAUCCAUGGUAAAGAAUGAGGUUUGUUUCAUUCACUAGUAUGUACUAUAUCUGUUUUGUGAAUCAUGUGAGUUGUAUCCCAUUAUGCUCUUCCUUAUGUUGCAGUGGAGUAUAUGUCUGAAACGUUGAAUGGAUUUGGGGAAAUUCUGGCAAUUAUAUUGCCCAUGUGGCUGUGUUAUGGGUCAUAGCUUUGUCUUCUAGUGACCUGAAAGAAUAUAAUGGCACGCUCUCUUUUAGUGCUUGGGAGAAUAAUUGGCAUAUUUCUGUUCUUUUAGUUGUCGUUUUAAACUGCAUUUUACUGUAGUAGUACUUGGCAUAUAAAAUAGCCCAAUUGAAACAAUCAACAGCCUCAAGAUUUGUCUUUUAGAAUGAAGACAGAGUGCUCUAAAAUAAAUUCGGACUGUUAUUUUAGUCUGAAAUAAAUUCUCAAGCAUCUGCAUUUUUACUUUCAUGAGUUCAGUAAGCUUCUCCUGCUUGUGAAGCUAUUCAUAAUAUAUUCUUGCAGUAUCAUACCUGCCAUAUUUGAUUAUAUAGACUGAUGAAGGGCUCGUGUUGGUUACAAACUCUGAUGUUUCGGAUUAGUUUUUGUCUUGGCGCUGAUGGCAUGAACUAAGGUGUGCAAAUUCUUGACUUCCUUGAACUGUUUCAGCCUUUCAAACUCUUGAGCCAUAAUCGUGCAAGUUCGUGCGAGUCAUUUUUUGGUUAUUUUUCAAGUGAGUGACGACUUGCAAAAAUAUAGUUCAACUUGUUAAUUUCCACUUAUUAAUACUACUAAUUAUAGUUGCUGUGAACAAAUCUUGUGAUGAUCUUUGCCUUCUCCAAUGUCUCAUUGAUGAGAUCCACCGGCCUCCUUCAUGAAGGCUGAGCUCUUGUAUGUGAUUAUCUGCACGGCGUUCUGGAGUCCAACCUCCACCAUGAAGAAGGUCUGCAUAGUAGCAUCCAUGUUCUCAACACAAUCAGUUGUGUCAGACGAGAAAAGAUACACAGUACCUUUGGGGCAGUCCACCAAAAUAUUCACAAAAGUUCGGUCAUUGGCAUGCGUCCAUCCAUCGAGCAAGAUGCUACAGCCAGUGUCAGCCCACGAUCUUUUGAUCUCAUCCACGCAAGAGGUCGUUUCCUUCAUCACAUCCCUGAAUAUCCACCCUUUUAACUCCUCGAUAGUAAGAGCUUGACGCUGCAUCCUCAUUGAGUGAUAAAAGAGAUUAGUGCAUCCUCAUUGAGUGAAUUGGCAGCAUCAAAGUCAAGUCCAUUCUCAUAAAAGAAUCUACCGACGUGCAAUUUGGUUUCCUUGAUCAACGGAUCUGUUAGGGAGUUUAAACAAAACGUGAACAAAUCAGAUGUGCGUGUAACACUUUCAGAUCAAAUCAAUUCGGCGGUUCUACCAAUAUUUGAUCGGAUACAAUUCAGGUUUCGAAGAUAUUUGUCUGUUGAUUCUGUACAACUUUGAACCUAGAAAUUGAACAUAAGAAGAUGCUGAAAAACGAAGAGUCGCGUCUCUUCGUUUCACAACUGUUUUUAACAGUUUUUGUCGGGAAUAGAAAAUUGCAAAAUAGUCCUUCAACUUUUAGAAAUUACGUUUCCGGAUGAAUUUUCUGUACAACAACUUUAAGCCAGGGGCUGUCGCCCCUUGGACCCUGCUACUCAGGGGCGCUGUACCCGAACCCCCGUCUAAUCAUAAUAAAUUCAAAUAAGUGUAUACUUCGCACUUCCAAUUUA